Molecule: long non-coding RNA, 1879 nt
Organism: Lolium rigidum
Lineage: Eukaryota; Viridiplantae; Streptophyta; Magnoliopsida; Poales; Poaceae
Exons: 7
Source: RefSeq, a predicted model, not a curated record
ACGCAACCUCCCCCAUCUCUCACGUCCCAGCGGCGGCGGCUCCCACCUCACGCCCUCAUCUUCUUCCUCACCCGAUCCGGCUGGUUCAUCUAAGGCGUCAACCCGUGGUGGAAGCAGGCGGAAGCACCUCAACCGCGGAGGCUCGACGGCCAGAGCGACGGCGGCCGGCGCGGCCUGGAGGCUUGGGUGUUGUCGCCAUGUCGGCCCUCCCAAAGGGCGUGAUGCGCCGCCCCUCGUCUCUCACCUCCAGUAGAUCAAAGGCCAUCACGGCGGCAGUCUGGACUAAGGUACGCGAUUCCCAUUUUCUUGUUGUAUUUUUCUCCCUUUUCUCUAUUGUCAUCGAUUGAUGGACCUAUCCCCUGCUCCUCCCCUUGCGCCUGAGAAGAAGGAGCGGAGAUGCCGUCUGCCGACGCGGCAGCGGAAUGAGGAGGUGCAGGAGAGCAGCGAGGAGGAGGAGGGAGGGGCGAAGCAGAGGGAGGAGGAUCAGGUCCAGCCGCGCAGAAGAGCACUGCGGGGAAGGUGGGCGAUGGGGAUCGGAGCUCGCGGUGCGCAGGGGAUUUAGGCACGCAAGGCCAAGCAAGGCGGCCAACGAGCAGCAUCCCUACAGUGGCGAGAUCCGCGAGAGGAGGCCUUCAGCUGCGAGCGACCAGGGGAGAUGCCGCCAGUUUACGUCUCGUCGAGGGGCUGGACGCUCGCGGGGGAUCACCAGGGGUAGUGCUGGGGCAGACGGAGCGAUGCCAGCCUGACCGAGCUAGACGACACGAGGCAACAGCGAUGGUGGAUCUUCCUGCUGCCCUACAUCGUCCCUUCAAAUCCCAGACAGUGGUGAGAAGGAUGGUGCCUGCUUGAAGGAAGGAGCCACAGAGAUCGGCAUGUUCUAUAGGGCCCAAAGUACCAGGAUAUUCUAAACAUCCGAGUGAGUGAUUGGUACUAAUCGGCGUGGUCAAGCUCUAGAAGUUGAUGCUCAAAAAAGCUAUUAUGCAGGUCUUUGAAGCACUUUACGAAUAGACAACAAAAGUUCACCGGCGAGAUUUUGAAAACUCGUGUCUCGCUUGAUAUGCUUGGACGCAUUUUUUAGUGGUUCUGCAAAACCUAUUGAUAAUUUUGCGUGAGGCAUAAUUGGACAUCUCUGGAAGUUCCAGUAAUCCAAGUGAGAGAACCUACCCUUAGGAGAUGAUGGAAAGAAGAAUAUCUAAUAUUGAUGUCGUGAACUCCAUUGAUCGAGGGCAAAUGAUUCCUUUCUUUUCCUACUGGGCUUCCUGGUAAUGAAAUUGUUGCUCAGAUUUGUUGUCUUCUGGUCUUCCCAAGAAUUUGGAGAAAGGCAAGCACAAAGAGCCUCCAAAGCUCACAAAGUUUGAAGAGAGGCGAAGGUGAAGAUGCUCACAAGGGGCGCGGGAGCGUGUGGCGAAGACAAACAAAGGGUGCCGAUUCAUCCCAGUGAUGCUGAUAUCAAACCCAUUAGAUGCCACCGCACAGACAAAAAUGACAUGCUGCAAGCGGCACAUAUAAUGUGUUCGCCAAUGUUCAAGAAAGCAUGUGGAAAGCCAAAAGGUGACACCGACCAUUGCAGAGUAGAGCCAUGGUUGUUUCUGGUGGUGUAUUGUUACACAGCCAGGUCGUGGCUUGACAACAUCCACAAACUACACCCAUGGGCUCUCAUUCUUAAUUGUUAGUCCUUAUAUGUAAUAGGAAGUGGCGGUCUGACUCAUCUCACUAGAAUAGCCAUUUACUUCAAAAUUGCAAAUCAAUCUUUACACUGCAAUUUUAGGUGGUGCAACUUUGAAGUUCAAAUUUUGAGGUCAGGCAUGUUCUCUAUCAAAUUUGACAUGCACCUGCUGGUUGUGUUUUGUGGAACUGAAAUAUAAAAUUGGAUUUUCAA